RNAcentral lists this ribosomal RNA (495 nucleotides) under uncultured bacterium. RNAcentral's name for it is "partial 16S ribosomal RNA". It matches the Rfam family "Bacterial small subunit ribosomal RNA", at positions 30 to 507 of the family's 1533-position model. The record is from RNAcentral.
UGACCGCUGGCGGCGUGCCUAAUACAUGCACGUCGAGCGAACAGAUGCGGAGCUUGCUCCUCUGACGUUAGCGGCGGACGGGUGAGUAACACGUGGAUAACCUACCUAUAAGACUGGGAUAACUUCGGGAAACCGGAGCUAAUACCGGAUAAUAUAUUGAACCGCAUGGUUCAAUAGUGAAAGACGGUUUUGCUGUCACUUAUAGAUGGAUCCGCGCCGCAUUAGCUAGUUGGUAAGGUAACGGCUUACCAAGGCAACGAUGCGUAGCCGACCUGAGAGGGUGAUCGGCCACACUGGAACUGAGACACGGUCCAGACUCCUACGGGAGGCAGCAGUAGGGAAUCUUCCGCAAUGGGCGAAAGCCUGACGGAGCAACGCCGCGUGAGUGAUGAAGGUCUUCGGAUCGUAAAACUCUGUUAUUAGGGAAGAACAAAUGUGUAAGUAACUAUGCACGUCUUGACGGUACCUAAUCAGAAAGCCACGGCUAACUACGUG